CUUUGAUUAUGGCUCAGGAUGAACGCUAGCUACAGGCUUAACACAUGCAAGUCGAGGGGAAACGACAUCGAAAGCUUGCUUUUGAUGGGCGUCGACCGGCGCACGGGUGAGUAACGCGUAUCCAACCUGCCCACCACUUGGGGAUAACCUUGCGAAAGUAAGACUAAUACCCAAUGACGUCUCUAGAAGACAUCUGAAAGAGAUUAAAGAUUUAUCGGUGAUGGAUGGGGAUGCGUCUGAUUAGCUUGUUGGCGGGGUAACGGCCCACCAAGGCUACGAUCAGUAGGGGUUCUGAGAGGAAGGUCCCCCACAUUGGAACUGAGACACGGUCCAAACUCCUACGGGAGGCAGCAGUGAGGAAUAUUGGUCAAUGGACGAGAGUCUGAACCAGCCAAGUAGCGUGCAGGAUGACGGCCCUAUGGGUUGUAAACUGCUUUUAUAAGGGAAUAAAGUGAGUCUCGUGAGGCUUUUUGCAUGUACCUUAUGAAUAAGGACCGGCUAAUUCCGUGCCAGCAGCCGCGGUAAUACGGAAGGUCCGGGCGUUAUCCGGAUUUAUUGGGUUUAAAGGGAGCGUAGGCCGGAGAUUAAGCGUGUUGUGAAAUGUAGACGCUCAACGUCUGCACUGCAGCGCGAACUGGUUUCCUUGAGUACGCACAAAGUGGGCGGAAUUCGUGGUGUAGCGGUGAAAUGCUUAGAUAUCACGAAGAACUCCGAUUGCGAAGGCAGCUCACUGGAGCGCAACUGACGCUGAAGCUCGAAAGUGCGGGUAUCGAACAGGAUUAGAUACCCUGGUAGUCCGCACGGUAAACGAUGGAUGCCCGCUGUUGGUCUGAAUAGGUCAGCGGCCAAGCGAAAGCAUUAAGCAUCCCACCUGGGGAGUACGUCGGCAACGGUGCAACUCAAAUGAAUUGACGGA
This 916-nucleotide ribosomal RNA is filed under the name uncultured Bacteroidota bacterium. RNAcentral's name for it is "bacterial SSU rRNA". It matches the Rfam family "Bacterial small subunit ribosomal RNA", at positions 11 to 917 of the family's 1533-position model. The record is from RNAcentral. Lineage: Bacteria; Pseudomonadati; Bacteroidota.